GACGGAGGGUGCAAGCGUUGCUCGGAAUUAUUGGGCGUAAAGGGUAGGUAGGUGGUCUCAUUUGUCGGGGGUGAAAGCCUUGGGCUUAACCCAAGAAGUGCCCCCGAAACGGUGAGACUGGAGUCCUGGAGAGGGUCGUGGAAUUCCCGGUGUAGCGGUGAAAUGCGUAGAGAUCGGGAGGAACACCAGAGGCGAAGGCGGCGACCUGGACAGGAACUGACACUCAACUCCGAAAGCGUGGGGAGCAAACAGG
RNAcentral lists this ribosomal RNA (253 nucleotides) under uncultured bacterium. RNAcentral describes it as "partial 16S ribosomal RNA". It matches the Rfam family "Bacterial small subunit ribosomal RNA", at positions 524 to 776 of the family's 1533-position model. The record is from RNAcentral.